UAGCUUUUAGAUUUAUAUUAAAAGUUCUGCCUGCCCGGUGAAAUAUUUUUAACGGCCGCAGUACUUUGACUGUGCUAAGGUAGCAUAAUAAAUUGGCUUUUAAUUAAAGUCGGGAAUGAAAGGAGAUUCGGAAAGAAACUGUCUUAAAAUAUUUUAUAUUAAUUUAAUUUUUUGAGUGAAAAUUCUCAUAAUUUUUUUAUUAGACGAGAAGACCCUAAGAGUUAUAAUUAAAGUAAUUAUUUAUUACUUAUCAUUUUUGUUGGGGCAACAAAGACUGGAAAAAACCGUCAUGAUUUAAUUUUUACAUAACCAGCAUAUUUAAUAAGAAAUAAACUACCUUAGGGAUAACAGCAUAAUUAAUUUUUAGAUUGUGACCUCGAUGUUGGAUUAAGGACUUUAUUUACUAGCCGUAAAUAAAGAUAGUUCUGUUCGAACUUUUAACCUU
RNAcentral lists this ribosomal RNA (445 nucleotides) under Vertigo griqualandica. RNAcentral describes it as "partial 16S ribosomal RNA". It matches the Rfam family "Archaeal large subunit ribosomal RNA", at positions 1919 to 2665 of the family's 2987-position model. Lineage: Eukaryota; Metazoa; Mollusca; Gastropoda; Stylommatophora; Vertiginidae. The record is from RNAcentral.